ACGCUGGCGGCAGGCCUAACACAUGCAAGUCGAGCGGUAGAGAGAAGCUUGCUUCUCUUGAGAGCGGCGGACGGGUGAGUAAUGCCUAGGAAUCUGCCUGGUAGUGGGGGAUAACGUUCGGAAACGGACGCUAAUACCGCAUACGUCCUACGGGAGAAAGCAGGGGACCUUCGGGCCUUGCGCUAUCAGAUGAGCCUAGGUCGGAUUAGCUAGUUGGUGGGGUAAUGGCUCACCAAGGCGACGAUCCGUAACUGGUCUGAGAGGAUGAUCAGUCACACUGGAACUGAGACACGGUCCAGACUCCUACGGGAGGCAGCAGUGGGGAAUAUUGGACAAUGGGCGAAAGCCUGAUCCAGCCAUGCCGCGUGUGUGAAGAAGGUCUUCGGAUUGUAAAGCACUUUAAGUUGGGAGGAAGGGCAGUUACCUAAUACGUGAUUGUUUUGACGUUACCGACAGAAUAAGCACCGGCUAACUCUGUGCCAGCAGCCGCGGUAAUACAGAGGGUGCAAGCGUUAAUCGGAAUUACUGGGCGUAAAGCGCGCGUAGGUGGUUCGUUAAGUUGGAUGUGAAAUCCCCGGGCUCAACCUGGGAACUGCAUUCAAAACUGACAAGCUAGAGUAUGGUAGAGGGUGGUGGAAUUUCCUGUGUAGCGGUGAAAUGCGUAGAUAUAGGAAGGAACACCAGUGGCGAAGGCGACCACCUGGACUGAUACUGACACUGAGGUGCGAAAGCGUGGGGAGCAAACAGGAUUAGAUA
RNAcentral lists this ribosomal RNA (756 nucleotides) under uncultured bacterium. Its description in RNAcentral is "bacterial SSU rRNA". It matches the Rfam family "Bacterial small subunit ribosomal RNA", at positions 33 to 784 of the family's 1533-position model. The record is from RNAcentral.